CUACGAAGGGGGCUAGCGUUGUUCGGAAUCACUGGGCGUAAAGCGCACGUAGGUGGACUAAUUAGUUGAGGGUGAAAUCACGGGGCUUAACCUCGGAACUGCCUUCAAUACUGUUAGUCUUGAGUCCGAGAGAGGUGAGUGGAAUUCCUAGUGUAGAGGUGAAAUUCGUAGAUAUUAGGAAGAACACCAGUGGCGAAGGCGGCUCACUGGCUCGGUACUGACGCUGAGGUGCGAAAGCGUGGGGAGCAAACAGGAUUAGAAACCCUAGUAGUCC
This 274-nucleotide ribosomal RNA is filed under the name uncultured bacterium. Its description in RNAcentral is "partial 16S ribosomal RNA". It matches the Rfam family "Bacterial small subunit ribosomal RNA", at positions 523 to 796 of the family's 1533-position model. The record is from RNAcentral.